Vigna angularis (adzuki bean) is the source of this 786-nucleotide long non-coding RNA. RefSeq lists it as uncharacterized. Lineage: Eukaryota; Viridiplantae; Streptophyta; Magnoliopsida; Fabales; Fabaceae. The transcript is spliced from 2 exons. The record is from RefSeq and is a predicted model, not a curated record.
ACAGUCCAGUUAGUGAUUGCGUGGUAUCUCAGCUAAUAAGGACUGUCACGUGGUAGUCCUCUUCCCACCCAAAUUAGGGUUCGCGAGAAAUGCUCUCUCAUUUGCGAUGGCUGCUGGUUCUUCCAUUGCACAAAGGAGCUCGUGGGGGCGUGAUUAGAGGGGAUUCUUAUGUUGUGGUUCCAUCUCUAUUUCCAGGUAUGUAGAUUGAUGGAGAUGGUGGUGGUUUGCGAGAACGCGAUCUAGGUUCUUCGAGUUUGUGGAGAAGACAAAGAUGGAGAAGAAUUGCUUGCGGUGCGCGAAGGUGAUGGAGGAGAUGAACUCACCGUUGCGACGCUAUUUAGGUUUUGAAUCGAGGGAGAAGGAACUCGCGAUUAGGUUUCGAAGGGGUGAAUCGUGAUUCUGGUUUGGGAUGUUUCUACAAGCAUUGUCGCAAUUGAAGGAGCAUGGUUGCGAUGGAGGCAAGACACGAUUUAAAGUUUGAUGCGUUUCUGAUUGGUAAAUAGUGAAGAUUGAUGGUGGUUCUACAAUUCAGAACGAAAAUGGUGCGAUAUUCGCGCAUGGAGGUUAAUGCUGUGAUAACUAGGGAGGUUUGAUUGCUCAAGUGUGAUGGCGCGCUAAUGGCAACAUGGUGGCCCUGUGAUGUCUCUUUGCACGAACCCUAACCCUUCUCACAUUAGUUGUCAAGUCAAUUGAUCUCAUCAUGUCACGUAAUCACUAAUUGGACAAAUCAUUCAAUUUUGAUAAAAAAACAUCUACAUUGAUAAAGUUUUUAAUGUUAAUAACAAA